Molecule: ribosomal RNA, 119 nt
Filed under: Pteropus alecto (black flying fox)
Lineage: Eukaryota; Metazoa; Chordata; Mammalia; Chiroptera; Pteropodidae
Source: RNAcentral
GUCUACGGCCAUGCCACCCUGAACAAGCCCGAUCCCGUCUGAUCUCGGAAGCUAAGCAGGGUCAGGCCUGGUUAGUACUUGGAUAGGAGACAACCUAGGAAGACCAGGUGCUGUAGGUG